GUGAGGAAUUUUGCGCAAUGGGGGCAACCCUGACGCAGCGACGCCGCGUGGAGGACGAAGUCUUUCGGGAUGUAAACUCCUGUCAGUGGGGACGAUAAUGACGGUACCCACAGAGGAAGCACCGGCUAACUCCGUGCCAGCAGCCGCGGUAAGACGGAGGGUGCAAGCGUUGUUCGGAAUUACUGGGCGUAAAGCGUAUGUAGGCGGCAAGUUAAGUUCAAUGUUAAAGCACACGGCUCAACCGAGGAGAUGCAUUGAAUACUGGCUAGCUAGAGGGUGUUAGAAGAAGACGGAAUUCCCAGUGUAGCGGUGAAAUGCGUAGAUAUUGGGAGGAACAUCGGUAGCGAAAGCGGUCUUCUGGGACAUACCUGACGCUGAGGUACGAAAGCGUGGGGAGCAAACGGGAUUAGAUACCCGGGUAGUCC
RNAcentral lists this ribosomal RNA (425 nucleotides) under uncultured bacterium. RNAcentral describes it as "partial 16S ribosomal RNA". It matches the Rfam family "Bacterial small subunit ribosomal RNA", at positions 354 to 796 of the family's 1533-position model. The record is from RNAcentral.